AUUGAACGCUGGCGGCAGGCUUAACACAUGCAAGUCGAGCGGUAGCACAAGAGAGCUUGCUCUCUGGGUGACGAGCGGCGGACGGGUUAGUAAUGUCUGGGAAACUGCCUGAUGGAGGGGGAUAACUACUGGAAACGGUAGCUAAUACCGCAUAACGUCGCAAGACCAAAGAGGGGGACCUUCGGGCCUCUUGCCAUCAGAUGUGCCCAGAUGGGAUUAGCUAGUAGGUGGGGUAAUGGCUCACCUAGGCGACGAUCCCUAGCUGGUCUGAGAGGAUGACCAGCCACACUGGAACUGAGACACGGUCCAGACUCCUACGGGAGGCAGCAGUGGGGAAUAUUGCACAAUGGGCGCAAGCCUGAUGCAGCCAUGCCGCGUGUGUGAAGAAGGCCUUCGGGUUGUAAAGCACUUUCAGCGAGGAGGAGGGUGGUGAACUUAAUACGUUCAUCAAUUGACGUUACUCGCAGAAGAAGCACCGGCUAACUCCGUG
This 490-nucleotide ribosomal RNA is filed under the name uncultured bacterium. Its description in RNAcentral is "partial 16S ribosomal RNA". It matches the Rfam family "Bacterial small subunit ribosomal RNA", at positions 30 to 507 of the family's 1533-position model. The record is from RNAcentral.